GAAACUGCGAAUGGCUCAUUAAAUCAGUUAUCGUUUAUUUGACAGUACCUUACUACUUGGAUAACCGUGGUAAUUCUAGAGCUAAUACAUGCUAAAAACCUCGACUUCGGAAGGGGUGUAUUUAUUAGAUAAAAAACCAAUGCCCUUCGGGGCUCCUUGGUGAUUCAUAAUAACUUAACGAAUCGCAUGGCCUUGUGCCGGCGAUGGUUCAUUCAAAUUUCUGCCCUAUCAACUUUCGAUGGUAGGAUAGUGGCCUACCAUGGUUUCAACGGGUAACGGGGAAUUAGGGUUCUAUUCCGGAGAGGGAGCCUGAGAAACGGCUGCCACAUCCAAGGAAGGCAGCAGGCGCGCAAAUUACCCAAUCCCGACACGGGGAGGUAGUGACAAUAAAUACUGAUACAGGGCUCUUUUGGGUCUUGUAAUUGGAAUGAGUGCAAUUUAAAUCCCUUAACGAGGAACAAUUGGAGGGCAAGUCUGGUGCCAGCAGCCGCGGUAAUUCCAGCUCCAAUAGCGUAUAUUAAAGUUGUUGCAGUUAAAAAGCUCGUAGUUGAACCUUGAGCCUGGCUGGCCGGUCCGCCUCAC
This 582-nucleotide ribosomal RNA is filed under the name uncultured fungus. RNAcentral's name for it is "SSU rRNA". It matches the Rfam family "Eukaryotic small subunit ribosomal RNA", at positions 83 to 668 of the family's 1831-position model. The record is from RNAcentral. Lineage: Eukaryota; Fungi.